RNAcentral lists this ribosomal RNA (497 nucleotides) under uncultured bacterium. RNAcentral describes it as "partial 16S ribosomal RNA". It matches the Rfam family "Bacterial small subunit ribosomal RNA", at positions 28 to 507 of the family's 1533-position model. The record is from RNAcentral.
GAUGAACGCUGGCGGCGUGCCUAAUACAUGCAAGUCGAGCGAACGGACGAUAAUCUUGCUUCUCUGAUGUUAGCGGCGGACGUGUGAGUAACACGUGUAUAACCUACCUAUAAUACUGGGAUAACUUCGGGAAACCGUAGCUUAUACCGUAUAAUCUUUUGAACCGCAUUGUUCAAUAGUGAAAUACGGUCUUGCUGUCACUUAUCGAUGGAUCCGCGCUUCAUUAGCUAGUUGGUAAGUUAACGGCUUACCAAGGCAACGAUGCAUAGACGACCUGAGAGGGGGAUAGGCGACAUUGGAAGGGGGCCACGGUCAAGAGGACUAAGGGAGGCAGCAGAAGGGAAUCUUACGCAAUAGGCGAAAGCAUGACGGAAUAAGGGGGAGUGAGUGAUGGAGGUCUUCGGAUCGUAAAAAUCUGUUAUUAGGGAAGAACAUAUGUGUAAGUAACUGAGCACAUAUUGACGGUAACUAAUAAGAAAGCAACGGCUAACUACGUG